Molecule: long non-coding RNA, 1205 nt
Organism: Mustela erminea (ermine)
Lineage: Eukaryota; Metazoa; Chordata; Mammalia; Carnivora; Mustelidae
Exons: 3
Source: RefSeq, a predicted model, not a curated record
AUUAUUUCUUCUUUCUAAAUGUCAGUUUCCUUGUUUAUACCAUAUGAACAAAGAGAGCCUACUAGACAUGGUUGAAGUGAAGAUUAAAUGAGAUCUCUAAAAAACUAAGUGCAGUGUCAGGUAAAUGUGAAGGGCCCAAUUUAAAUUGUGGUUACUGUUACUAUUUUGUCAUUUAAUCCUCAAAACUUUUUGUGAAAAAAGAAGAAAGCCUGUUGUUUUGGUUGCCCCACCCCAUUUUACAAGUGAGGGAAGUGGGGUUUGAGUCAGUAAUUUCAUAUCUCAUUUUCUUCCAUUCAUAUCUGGAUUCAGAAAGAAAAAUAUUGUGACAUGUAAGCUCCUAAUUUGAGGCAGCAAUUCCAGUAAAGUUUGUUGUCUAGACAAAAUGGGUUACAAACCCUAGCUUUUCAAGAAUUGAUUGUUACACAUUGACCAUAAUAUUGUUCUUCCCACUGACAACCAUCUUAUUAUUCAGUAAAAGGUAAUAUAUGAGAGUGUGUGUAAAACAGCCAUAACUCUAGAAAACCACUCAGGAGGCUAGUUUAAGAGUGCUCAGUCCUAUUCAAUCCACUAUAAUUAAGAGUGUUAGGUGGUGGUGGUGGGUUUUUUUUUUUGUUUUUUUUUUUUUUUCUUUAUAAACCAAGGAUAAGUGUGAUAGAGUAACAUUCCACUCUCCAUUUCUUGGUUCCAGGGCACUACUGUAUUGCAUUACUGUCUUUAGUUUUUUUCAAUGGCAAGGAGUUUCCCAAUCCAGAGAAGUUUGAUCCAGGACACUUUUUGGAUAAAAAUAGCAGCUUCAGAGCCAUUUUCUUUAGAGACAUUAUUUGGCAACUAUUAUUUCAUCUUUUGAAGGACGUUUUUUGAAAGGUCCCAGGAAUUCGGAUGUGGACAUCUUUGGGGGCCAUUAUUACAACUACCUCAGAAGGAGAAAGGACCCUCUGAUCUACUUCACCUCCCACAUGCCGUCGCUGACCCUCCCAAGCUAAGUUACAUGACUCUGCUUAGUGGUCCCAAGUGCUUACACCCACCAAUUUACCCCCAAUGUUUUGCUUGCUCAUUUGUAGUUUUCAGGAUAGAGACUGCCUUUUUCGCUCUUGACUGUCUGUCACUUCACCAGAAUGUAAGCGCCCCAUGGACAGGAGCCUUUGUUGGUUUUAUUCUAGAUCAAAAAUAAUAAUAGUAGGGGUGCCUGGGUGGCUCAGUGGGUU